GCCUCUAUAGCUCAGUUGGUAGAGCAACUGAUUUGUAAUCAGUAGGUCCGCAGUUCGAGUCCGCGUGGAGGCACCA
Molecule: transfer RNA, 76 nt
Filed under: Terasakiella magnetica
Lineage: Bacteria; Pseudomonadati; Pseudomonadota; Alphaproteobacteria; Rhodospirillales; Terasakiellaceae
Description: Candidatus Terasakiella magnetica tRNA-Thr
Rfam family: tRNA
About the family: Transfer RNA (tRNA) molecules are approximately 80 nucleotides in length.
Source: RNAcentral